GAACCAGACUGAAGCACUAUAUGUAUGUGUAUCCUUAAUUUCCCUCCCUACACGUGCAUGCAUUGAGCAAUAAUAAUAUAUGCAUGUUUAAGCAGCAGAGUUACUUGACAGGUGUCAAGACCUUGUAGUGUCAGGUGUGUGCCAAUCACAAAAGUCUUCCAAGAAAAUUAAAACAUCAGGGAAUGGUCUAGUGCUUUUUGGCCAUAAAACAACUUAUGUAGAUAGGUAUACAAACAUAACAUACAAUAAUUGCUAUAUUCUAGGAAAACAAGAAAGUAAAGCAUAAGGUGGCCAUGAAUGAUUGUAAUAAAAUGUUCAAGAUGGGAAACUAGAAGAAAUUAAACGAUUCUAGCUAGAAGAGGUCUAGUAUGAAAUGACAAUGUAAAGGUCAAUUUUGAGGUGUUGGGAAAAUUUUUCAAGAAAAUCACAGAAAUCGAAGAAAUUUAAAGGAGCCAAGACCCUGUUCUCUAGAGAGAUUAAUUGGUAGUGUGGGAUUGGGAAGAGCAACAAUGGUGAGUUUAAAAGAAAGAAAGUAGCGGUGCUCUAGCUAGAGUAACUACUCAACUAAAUUAUAGACUUGCAAGCCAACUAGAUUUUUGUCAUGUGAGGGAGUAAGCAAGAAUAUUGAUUAAAAUCUUGCAUAGCCAUGUGCGGUUAGCUGGUUAGUAUAAGAGAAGCAUCUGUUUUCAUGUAAGCUUAUGCUCAUAAUGAAGUGAAGUGAACAUUGAUAUAAAAUUUUUAUUCUAUAUAUAUAUUUUUAUUUAUUUAUUUAAAAAAUGCUUUGAAAUCCCAAUCAAAUACAAAAACAAAAUUGUAAGUUAUCGGAGUUGCUAGCACCGUAACUCGAUGAAUAUCUCUCUUACCAUAAAACCUUGCUAAGACGUACAAACUUCGAGUCUCUGUCAAGCUAUCUACAUGUGUGUGAGUAUUAGAUUUCUACAAUUAUCUGGUACCAACGGAAUAUAACAUUAGUUAAGAUGUCAAUUUAGUGAGUUAGAUGUUGAGAUUAUGAUAACUCGGAGGGGCAGGGCCAGCUUCAUCUGCUUUUAGUUAUUAAUUAUAAGUAGUUGGUUCAUUCAUCAUGUGGCUAUGGCUAUUAGCUAAGCUGGAGAGUUGGAUUUGUUGUCUAUUGUGUUAGAUAUAAUUGAUGAUUACUAAUGUUCUUAAAGUUUGUUUUAGAACAGGAGUGAUCAGAGUUUAAGCUGGAAGCUGAUCAGAGUUUGAUGUAGCUGAUCAGAGUUUAGUAAAGUCUGACCAGAGUUUGAUAAAGUCUGAUCAGAGUUUACAUAGUCAAGACUCGUCAGAGUUUACACGUGGAAAGAGCUCAGAAGCGGAUAUACUUCAAGGAAGGAUAGAAGCGGAGGAGUGAUUUGCUGACUAUGGAAACUAAAACAGAAAACUGGAGCAAUCUUUGAUUGAUAGAAUACAUAGCUGAUUUAUAGGAUAUCAAAUCAGAGAUUGAUUUUUGUAACUGUGUCUAUAUAAAAUCCCUCAAGCAACAAGCUAGAACCAGACUGAAGCACUAUAUGUAUGUGUAUCCUUAAUUUCCCUCCCUACACGUGCAUGCAUUGAGCAAUAAUAAUAUAUGCAUGUUUAAGCAGCAGAGUUACUUGACAGGUGUCAAGACCUUGUAGUGUCAGGUGUGUGCCAAUCACAAAAGUCUUCCAAGAAAAUUAAAACAUCAGGGAAUGGUCUAGUGCUUUUUGGCCAUAAAACAACUUAUGUAGAUAGGUAUACAAACAUAACAUACAAUAAUUGCUAUAUUCUAGGAAAACAAGAAAGUAAAGCAUAAGGUGGCCAUGAAUGAUUGUAAUAAAAUGUUCAAGAUGGGAAACUAGAAGAAAUUAAACGAUUCUAGCUAGAAGAGGUCUAGUAUGAAAUGACAAUGUAAAGGUCAAUUUUGAGGUGUUGGGAAAAUUUUUCAAGAAAAUCACAGAAAUCGAAGAAAUUUAAAGGAGCCAAGACCCUGUUC
RNAcentral lists this long non-coding RNA (1972 nucleotides) under Daucus carota (carrot). RNAcentral describes it as "long non-coding RNA (DCAR_LNC007042)". The record is from RNAcentral. Lineage: Eukaryota; Viridiplantae; Streptophyta; Magnoliopsida; Apiales; Apiaceae.